This 377-nucleotide ribosomal RNA is filed under the name uncultured bacterium. RNAcentral describes it as "bacterial SSU rRNA". It matches the Rfam family "Bacterial small subunit ribosomal RNA", at positions 523 to 898 of the family's 1533-position model. The record is from RNAcentral.
AUACAGAGGGUGCAAGCGUUGUUCGGAAUUACUGGGCGUAAAGCGCGCGCAGGCGGGAUGGCAAGUCGGAUGUGAAAGUCCUCGGCUCAACCGAGGAAGUGCAUUCGAAACUGCCGUUCUUGAGUGUCGGAGAGGGUGGUGGAAUUCCCGGUGUAGAGGUGAAAUUCGUAGAUAUCGGGAGGAACACCAGUGGCGAAGGCGACCACCUGGACGAACACUGACGCUGAGGCGCGAAAGCGUGGGGAGCAAACAGGAUUAGAUACCCUGGUAGUCCACGCCGUAAACGAUGAGUGCUAGCUGUUGCGGGAGUUGACCCCUGCAGUGGCGAAGCCAACGCAUUAAGCACUCCGCCUGGGGAGUACGGCCGCAAGGCUAAA